AGCUUGUCGGGGUCGACCGCGCGCGAGGCGAGGAGGUAGUCGCGCAUGACGAUGCCGUGGCGGGCCUC
Molecule: small RNA, 68 nt
Filed under: Streptomyces colonosanans
Lineage: Bacteria; Bacillati; Actinomycetota; Actinomycetes; Kitasatosporales; Streptomycetaceae
Description: Streptomyces sp. MUSC 93 ASdes TB sRNA
Rfam family: ASdes TB sRNA
Source: Rfam by way of RNAcentral